UAAGACAGAGGGUGCAAACGUUGCUCGGAAUUACUGGGCGUAAAGCGCGUGUAGGCGGACUUGUAAGUCAGAUGUGAAAGCCCUGGGCUCAACCCAGGAACUGCAUUUGAAACUGCGAGCCUAGAGUGAUGGAGAGGGAAGCGGAAUUCCUGGUGUAGAGGUGAAAUUCGUAGAUAUCAGGAGGAACACCGGUGGCGAAGGCGGCUUCCUGGACAUUAACUGACGCUGAGACGCGAAAGCGUGGGGAGCAAACAGGAUUAGAUACCCUGGUAGUCCACGCCGUAAACGAUGGGUACUAGAUGUCGCGGGUAUUGACCCCUGCGGUGUCGUAGCUAACGCGUUAAGUACCCCGCCUGGGGAGUACGGCCGCAAGGCUA
Molecule: ribosomal RNA, 377 nt
Filed under: uncultured bacterium
Lineage: Bacteria
Description: bacterial SSU rRNA
Rfam family: Bacterial small subunit ribosomal RNA
Source: RNAcentral